RNAcentral lists this ribosomal RNA (292 nucleotides) under uncultured bacterium. RNAcentral describes it as "partial 16S ribosomal RNA". It matches the Rfam family "Bacterial small subunit ribosomal RNA", at positions 505 to 796 of the family's 1533-position model. The record is from RNAcentral.
GUGUCAGCCGCCGCGGUAAGACGAAGGUCCCAAGCGUUGUUCGGAAUUACUGGGCGUAAAGGGUGCGUAGGCGGCGCGGAAAGUCAGAUGUGAAAGCCCCGGGCUCAACCCGGGAAUGGCAUCCGAUACUCCCGCGCUCGAGGACUGGAGAGGAGUCUGGAAUUCACGGUGUAGCAGUGAAAUGCGUAGAUAUCGUGAGGAACACUAGUGGCGAAGGCGAGACUCUGGACAGUUCCUGACGCUGAGGCACGAAGGCCAGGGGAGCGAAGGGGAUUAGAAACCCUGGUAGUCC